AGGCAAUUGACGUUUCAUACUAGGGCGAGGGGUGUUGAAACGCAUGGAAGAGCAGGAAGAAACACGGACGAGCGGUGAUGAACUGCAACUGUUUGCGUGCAACAGCACCAAACGGCAUGUGACGACGUACAGUGUGUGGAUGUGUGUGUGAAAUUUUAGGCAGCGAAGAUGGAUCGAGGUUAUGUUUACAAAGUGAAAGGGAUUGAUGCAGAAGCGUCUUUGUGAUAAAAUGUAUUUUAGUUUCAUAUUUUCAGUGUUAAAGUUUUUAAUGUGAACUUAAAAGUAAUGAACAAUGGUUUUAUUCUCUUGUGUGCUGUUGGCGAAUAUUGAAGCGUUGAAAUAUUGAAGCUUCAUAUGUUAGUUUGUUGUGCUUAAUGUGAAGCAAAACUAUGUGCUUAAGUGUUAGAAAUUAGAAAUAUUUAAACGUAUCCGUCUAAUGUUCAGUUGUACCGAUCUAAUUGUCAAUAUUUUUGGGUGUCCUUAUCGUUUAACAGGAGAAACAGAUUGGAGGUUAGAUACGUGCAGCUAUUUCGCCUCCACAGUGUUCUUCAGUUGUGUUUCAAGCUGUCCGAAGGCACACAAAUCCGAUUCACCUCGUAUGCACCCAGCGGAUUUCAUGCGAAGGAUAUUGGAAAGCCAUCAAAGAAGUGGGCAUGAUGGUAAGGAAACUUUGAUUCUUUUUACUUUUAGAUUUCUUAUCCUUAUUUUUGUUUACAACAACCUUGGAUCGUCGGCGCCGGCCUUAUGGAAACUGCGCGGUCAGAGCAACAACCGGAAGCAUUUCGUUCCAGGUGGAAAUUAUCUCAAGUUUGGGAAUUGAAGAGAGUUACGGCACACUGUGAACAUCGUUGUAAACAAUUGAUGGUAAUAUUUAUAUAGGUAACAUUUAUAUUUAUAUAUUUAUAUAUAUGAAUGCAUGUGUUUAUCGAAUUAUUCAUUAAUUCGUUUAUUUAUUAAUUAGAGCAUUAGUUUAGUUACGGAGCAGCUUAUCCCGGCCUUUCUCGGGUUUAGUUGCUGUUGCUUGACCGCGACGAUUGACACCAGAGUUUGUUAUGGUCGUAUUGUCGUCGUGUAAUCGUGUUAUUGCUGUUAACGUACUUUAUUUAUAUCUAUUAAGAUGCAACAGCAUUAUUUAUUUUCCGGAAUAUCGUUAGCGUUGUUCCUGCUAAUAAGACGGAAGACGUUUGAAAUUAGCACCUGUGUCAAUCGUCAAACGGUUGACAGUGGGCACUAAAGUACAAUAAAUGGUAGGAGCAAAAACGCGAUGGCUGUUACUGAUUUGCAAAAUGAAACCAACAGCCAUUUUACAUGUUUUAUCUUAAACAUGCAUUGCACCUGAAAGCUACCAAAGCAAAUGUGUAUUUCGUACCUCCUGAUUUGUGAUAGAAUAAAAGGUACAGUUCCAUUAAAACAGUCGACCGAUUGAUUGAUCCAAAGUUUGAAACGUUUGUGUGGCUUGUGCUGUGUUUGUGAAAUUGGUGUUGUGAAAAUUAAGUGUGAAAAUGAUGAAAAGAAAGCGUGAAACAGGCUCCUCUUAUAAAAUUGCUCAAGCCGAUAACAAAAAGCUUGAGGCCGAGUUAUUUGGCGAAAGUAGUUCUUUUGGGAUGAGCAGCAACCCAUCAGCAAUUAAUGAAGAGGACAUUUGUGUGCAUGAUCUUCUCGUAUGUGGUCCUCAAGAUAUUGAUCAAGAAGAACACAACUAUGAUUGGAUAAAUAUCGAAGAGAUUGACAACUGCGAAAUUAUCAACGAUGACGUAUCCGAGAUAACGUUGGAAAAUGCACCGGAUUCCCCAAAGGAAGAUGAGCCAAUUGAGGAAGUUAUUAGAAACUGGGCUCUAAAAACAUAUCAGACGCACCAAGCACUCAACAGUUUAUUGGCUAUUUUGCAUGCACGAACCGAAUUUAACCUACCAAAAGAUGCGCGUACGCUACUUAGAACAAAGCAGUGUGGAAAGGAAAUAGUACCGAUAGCUGGAGGAGAGUUUUGGUAUCCGGGAGUACGAUCGGUUCUCCACAACUAUUUCCGGUGAGUAAACAAUAAUAUUGUUUUAUUCAGGAGCAGGCCGUAUUGUUUAACAAGGCUGUUAAAAAUGACAAAAUCUAAUGCAUUUUUUUCUAUUUGCAGUGAUGUACAACCAACAGUAAAUGAGUUUUCUUUAAAUUUCUUUAUUGAUGGACUACCGUUGCACAAGAGCACCCGAAAACAGUUUUGGCCAAUACUGAUGAGCAUUCACGAAAUGCCAGAAGUUCCUGUGUUGAUGGUUGGCAAUUUUUAUGGGCAAUCUAAACCGAAGAGUUUAGAUGAAUACCUUCGUCCACUCGUGGAGGAGCUCAAUGAGUUGAUAGAUAAUGGUAUAAAAAUAGCCAAAAAGACCAUCAAAAUAAUUAUUAGAGCAUUUAUCGCAGACGCACCUGCACGAGCGUUCAUAAAAGGUGUUGCCUAUUUCAAUCAUAAACUGGGAUGCCAGAGAUGUACAGUCGAAGGACAAUUUAGUAAAAAAGCUCGAGUGAUGUAUUUUUCGAAGAUAGACGCACCAAGAAGAACGGAUGAAGAGUUUCGUGGAGAAAAGUAUGGUGACCACCACCGAGAAAGAACACCUCUACUGCAUCUAAAGACAAUCGAUAUCAUUCGAAAUAUUAUUAUCGCGGAUGUAUUGCAUUUGAUAGACUUUGGAAUAUCACGAACAUUAAUCGUCGGAUGGAAAUCAGGAAAGCUAAUAGGGCGCAGUUGGUCAUCGGAAACGCUGAAUUACAUAAAUUCGCUACUUCAAAAGGUGGAAAUUCCGCCUGAAUAUCAUCGCAAAUUCCGUCGAAUUGAAGACACUGGUUUAUGGAAAGCCAUUGAAUAUCACAUGUUUUUACAUUACGCCAGUUUUAUAGUGUUGAAAAAUGUAUUAACUGAAAUGGAAUACAAACAUUAAAUGUUGUAUUUUUGUGCAAUAAGAGCAUUUUCUUCGGAAAUUUACAAACAUUUUUGGCCAGAAGCGGACCGGCUUCUCAAACAGUUUGUUGUAGAGUAUGGUGUCAUUUACGGUGAACACCGUUUGACUAGCAAUGUACAUAGUUUGGUACAUGUUUUCGAAGAUGUGGACAAAUUUGGAGUUCUUAAAAAUAUGUCAUCUUAUCGUUUUGAAGGUACAUUAUUUCAUGUUAAAAAUUCACUUCGAAACGGUCAUCAGGUUUUGGUUCAGGCUGCAAAUAGAAUAUCGGAACAAUCUUCUAAAUCUCGAACGGCAAGGAAUAACUCAUACCCUUAUUUGGAACACGUAAAAAAAGGAGUAGUACUGCAUGUAAAUUAUAAUACCACAUUUUAUCCAACUUCUCAAGCAAAUUGGUUUCUAACAAAAGAUAAUUACAUUGUUCAAUAUUGUAGGACAACAAAAGUAGGAUCUGUUAUUCACAUUUACGGGAAGGCAUUUGAUAAAAUAAUUAGUCCAGAUAAAUACUGUUCUUCGCCAUUGAUGGAAGACAUUUAUGAAGCUGAAGUGAACGAUCUUUCUACACAAGAGAUGGUAUUUUUGAUAGAAGAUAUAAAGUGUAAAUUAGUUGCAAUUAAAACUGAUGAUAGUAAUUAUGUAUUUGUACCUCUUAUAGACACAUUAAUGAAGUGAAAAUAAAUGAUAAAAUUUGACUUGACUUAAAAGGAUGUUUACCUUUACCUUUUAUAAGGUUGGCCGUGAUAUUGUUUAUAAGAAUUUAAAUGUAAUGUUUAAAUGUAAAUGUAUGUUAAUGUAAUGUAUGUUUUUUUGUAUAUUUGGUUUGAGUUCUUGGUUAAUUAUGAAUUGGUAAAGUGUUUUACAAUCUUUCAUUUCAUUUUCAAGAUAUUACGUUGGUGUUUCACCAUUUCAGGAUUUAGAAAUUGUUUUUCUAUCAGACGCAAGGACUGCUUCGAAGUUUAUUAAAGAAUAGAUAAAAGCUGUAAUAUAAUAUCAAUAGUACAUUACAAUAAAUAAAAAUGGAAAAGCAAUAUUUUUAUCAAUAAAUAAUAUGUAAUAUAUAAACGGCGAUGCGGUAACGGCAACUAUGAAUAGGUAGAGCAAUUUAAUUAAAUAAAUAUAUUUUUAUUUCUUCCUUCUAUGGCAGCUUGUUUUAACAUUUCCCUGCAUGUUUACUCUUGCCGGUGCAUGCGUCAGUUUUCUUUUUAAAUAUUCUUUAACAUAUUCUAUAUCUACUUCUAUUCCUACGUGGUUUGUGGCGAUAGACUUAAAUAAGCGCACUGUAUUUCGGUAUUUACUAAAAGCUAUUUUUUUUCCUGACGAUCCUUCCCAGCUGCACCGUGCAAGAAAAUUCCUAUCAAACAACACGUCUAAAGCCUCAUGCAUCCUGUUGUUGGGAUCCUGGCUGCUGAUAUCUGCAUCUAUCCUUUGAGUAUAACUGCAAAAUGCAAAAUCAUCUUCAGCUAUUUUUGCUUCAAAAGCAUCAAACUGUUGUUCAUUUCCGAUUUUUUCCAUGGCUAAACUCUGCGCAUUUCUUCUUAUACCCUUCAUAGGAUUCAGUAUUGUGGACUGCUCAUUUAAAAUCACCAAUAUCUGAGCGCUGCGUGCAUCAAUUUUCAUUAACAUCAUCCGACAAAGAGGGCAGCAGCUUCCAGAAUGCUCUGUUGAAGUAAUUGAAAGGACUGUUUGCUUUGCUCCUGCUGCAGUCUGGUGUUCAUCGUCGGUGAUCAUCAUUAUUGGCGACGAAGGCAGCACAGGCAAAUUUAUCACAACACUACCAGUUGCUCGUUCAGUCUUUAUGUUCGAUGUACCGGUGCUUGUCGAUGGCUCUUGGUUUCCACCAUCAACUAUCUUGCCUGGCGGUCGGAUCUGGCUAGGAACACCGGUAAAAGAUUGCUCAGAUAUAGCAGUACUCGUUGAUGGUUUUUGAACAUUAACGCUGAUCAUUUUGGCUGGUGUACGGCUCACAACACAAACAGAUCCUCCAGCAGCCGCUAUCACCGAUGCAGAAGCACUGGUGGGUAAUUGUUGUCUUACAACAGUGGUCUUCAUACCACGCUGGUUCUUCGGAGCAUGAACUUCGGCAAACGAUCCAAUCGAUGGUACUGCAGAUCCCGUCAAUGCCUGUUGUCUACCGAUCUUCAUGCCUGAUUGCUGCGGAAGAGCAUCAGUAACCGAUACCAAUGAUGGCGCAGCAGUACUAGUUGACGGUUGCUGUCCAUGUUGCUGGCCUAACGGACGGAAUGGUGCAGCAACACCAGGUAAUGUUGACCGAUGAUGAUUACCAUCACCGGCACUCGAGACCAGCGCUGACACUGCAUCCGUUACCUUCACCUGUUCAACAACACGAACUGGCAUUCUUUGUUGACUGAGCCGUGCGCGCUGACCGGCCACUGAAACCACCGAAGGCACUGCACUUGUUGUCGUGAGUUGUCCAACAACACGGACCGGCAAGCCGGGAGGACGAAUGGCACUAGGAACGGCAACCGAAACCACCGUCGGCACUGCACUUGUCGUCGGAAGUUGUCCAACAACACGGACCGGCAAGCCGGGAGGACGGAUGGCACGAGGAAUGGCAACCAAAACCACCGAUGGCACUGCACUUGUCGUCGGAAGUUGUCCAACAACACGGACCGGCAAGCCGGGAGGACGAAUGGCACGAGGAACGGCAACCGGAACCACCGAUGGCACUGCACUUGUCGUCGGAAGUUGUCCAACAACACGGACCGGCAAGCCGGGAGGACGAAUGGCACGAGGAACGGCAACCGGAACCACCGAUGGCACUGCACUUGUCGUCGGAAGUUGUCCAACAACACGGACUGGCACAUCUGAAUGACGAAACGACUGCACACCCGCAAUGGCCGAAGGCAUCACUUGUAGAGGAAGUGGUACUUGAGACUCUUCCACAACUUCUUCCUCCAAACGAAGACACGUUAGUUUAUCUUGCGUCGACAUGGUGUAACUUUUGCAAAAUGUACGAAAUUGCACUAAUAUUUUCAAAUUUACACAAAAGACACUUUUAGACACUUUUUCACGAGGCACUGACACGAUGUAUUAACUUUGGAGUCUGAAGUUGAACUAAAAUUGUUUAACAAAGUGUUAGCCCUUUUAUACUGCAUUUCGAGCAGACUUAUGAAUGAGUGGGAGGAGUUAAAGGACUUGUGGAAGAAGGAAUAGGAUAUGGUGUAAUGUCGAAUAUUGUGCCUGUUGCUUGUGCUACCGAAUGUCGCCAAGCUCACGUACCCGCGUUUUAUGUACCUUUUCUUGGUGUUUUCGAGUUACUCGCCACCAACAUGCAUAUCGGCUGGAACUUGGACCCAUGCUAAAUUGAAGCAAAGUUAAAGUAAGUCUGACCUAAGUCAGUCCGAGUAAGUCAGUAGCUAAAGUAAUAUAAAGACAGUAUGAUAAACUGGCGUCGUGUAUCAGAUCGCAACUGCUAAUAAUUUCGUCGUCUGAGGCGGACUGUUAUGGAGGUACCAAAUCUUCAGUGAUGAUGAAUGCGUUCACGAAUCUACGAGCCGGUGAUUGGCGGUAUCCAGAUCAUCGUCGUACUGUUAGCUUACCUAAACUACCAAAAUUAGUGACAAUGUAAAAUUUGUGCUGUGAAGAUUAGGGGAAUUUGGGGCAAGUGUGCCAACGGGGCAAGUGUGCCACCAAGCAUUUUUCCUUAAAAACUUUAGUUUAAUGAUCAAUUGUGUAUACAGUUGGUUGCUUUCCAAUGACAAGGUAUGCUGAGCCGAAUUUCAUAUUGACCAAUCGAUAUUUCGCAUUGUUUUGAACUGAUUAAUAUGAGCUUCAAAAUUGUGCAGAAUAUUAUAAUUUUUUCAUCCAACCAAAUAAGCUCUCAAAAAUCAUGCGAACAAUCAACCGAGAAAAUAUUUACACCACCGUAUAGCUGAGAAAACGCGAAAUUUUUUGUGGGGUUAGUUGAAAAAAACUUUCUUUUUGUCACUGAAAAAUUCAAUUUCAAAAAAGCUACAACUU
Anopheles gambiae (African malaria mosquito) is the source of this 6920-nucleotide long non-coding RNA. RefSeq lists it as uncharacterized. The transcript is spliced from 5 exons. The record is from RefSeq and is a predicted model, not a curated record. NCBI's taxonomy places the organism in Eukaryota, Metazoa, Arthropoda, Insecta, Diptera, Culicidae.